This 262-nucleotide long non-coding RNA is filed under the name Nicotiana benthamiana. RNAcentral describes it as "long non-coding RNA (NBEN_LNC006017)". The record is from RNAcentral. Lineage: Eukaryota; Viridiplantae; Streptophyta; Magnoliopsida; Solanales; Solanaceae.
ACAGUAACAAAGAAUGAUACCACCACGCACGCCGUUCUUCAUUUUCAUAACCUAAGAACACCCCAGUUCUUGAACACAAAGGAGAGACCCCCGUCUUAGGGGUAUCAAGAAAAUCACAUUACUGUAUUUUCAUAACCUACUCUUAAAAUAAAUAUCGGCUGUGUUACUAUCAAAUUUGUGUAGGACUAAAUAACAUUUCUUUUUUAUUUCUUCUGUUUGGGAGGGAUAUUAGUCAUUUAUCCUUAAGUAACAAUUUCUUCCU